This 292-nucleotide ribosomal RNA is filed under the name uncultured bacterium. RNAcentral describes it as "partial 16S ribosomal RNA". It matches the Rfam family "Bacterial small subunit ribosomal RNA", at positions 505 to 796 of the family's 1533-position model. The record is from RNAcentral.
GUGUCAGCCGCCGCGGUAAUACAGAGGUCCCAAGCGUUGUUCGGAUUCACUGGGCGUAAAGGGUGCGUAGGUGGUAGGGUAAGUCGGAUGUGAAAGCUCGGAGCUCAACUCCGAAAUGGCAUUGGAAACUACCCUGCUAGAGGUUCGGAGGGGGGACUGGAAUACUUGGUGUAGCAGUGAAAUGCGUAGAUAUCAAGUGGAACACCAGUGGCGAAGGCGAGUCCCUGGACGACACCUGACACUGAGGCACGAAAGCUAGGGGAGCAAACAGGAUUAGAAACCCUUGUAGUCC